GAUCCUGGCUCAGGAUGAACGCUAGCUACAGGCUUAACACAUGCAAGUCGAGGGGCAGCAUUUUAGUUUGCUUGCAAACUAAAGAUGGCGACCGGCGCACGGGUGAGUAACACGUAUCCAACCUGCCGAUAACUCGGGGAUAGCCUUUCGAAAGAAAGAUUAAUAUCCGAUAGCAUAUUGAGAUCGCAUGAUUUUGAUAUUAAAGAAUUUCGGUUAUCGAUGGGGAUGCGUUCCAUUUAG
Molecule: ribosomal RNA, 240 nt
Filed under: uncultured bacterium
Lineage: Bacteria
Description: partial 16S ribosomal RNA
Rfam family: Bacterial small subunit ribosomal RNA
Source: RNAcentral